AUGGAGAACGGCGACGAAACCCUCGUCUCCCCCACCGCUGAGGCCGAGAAGGCUGCGCCCAACGGAGGCGUCGCGGGCGAGGAGGUCACCCUCGCCGACGCCGUCCACCCCGCCAAGUCCUACGCCGCCGUCGCCGCCAACGCCGAGAUCGAGGACCUCCGCGCCACCAAGCUCGACCUCGAGGAGCAGCUCGCCAACGCCAGCCAGGAGAACAAGACCCUCGCCGCGGAGGCCCACCGCCUCGAAGGCCUCUUCUCCCAGGCUCGGGACGACGUCGCCACCGCCGAGCACGCCGCCGCCACCACCGAAGAAGAGGUGGCCUCGCUCCGCGCCGAGGUCGAGCGCCUCCAGGCCCUCCUCGACCGCAAGAAGGCCGACCGUGAGGCGGACGAGCGCCAACGCCAGGAGCUCACGGCCGAGGUGGAGACCGUUCGUCAGGCGAAGCUCAAUCUCGAGAAGGAGGUCGACGCCCUGAAGGCUUCCGCCGCUGCUACCACCGUGGAGGACAGGGAGGCUGCUCCGGACGCUGGGGCCCCGAAGGAAGAGGGAGUCGCCUGGCAGGGGAUGGCAGCGGGGGCGGCCGCUGGUGCUGCCAUCACAGCUGCCGUCGUUCUGAUCUACCUCCGCCUCAAGAGGUAA
RNAcentral lists this ribosomal RNA (639 nucleotides) under Triticum aestivum (bread wheat). RNAcentral's name for it is "partial small subunit ribosomal RNA". The record is from RNAcentral. Lineage: Eukaryota; Viridiplantae; Streptophyta; Magnoliopsida; Poales; Poaceae.